AGGUCAUCGUUCGUGGUGUGUCAAACAUCUGGGCUACGGAGCAGCGUCGUAUCCUGUGCCGAGAUGGAUCCGCGAAUUUGGCCGGGAUGUCUCUCUCUCUGCACUAGCGAUACCCGUACUCGAUGGAUUCGUCACGUAGAACGUCCCCGGAAUUAAUCGCUAUGACCGUAGCUGGCAAUUAUCAUGCGAGUUGUAGCCAACGAAAGCGAUAUCGAUCCACAGCACUCCCUGUUGUUCGCAGCAAUCUUCACCGGCUAGAGCUCCGUUCCAGGCGGGCUACCCACUGGUUAUUGGGACCGCCUCGGGCGCACCAUGGAACGUCGAAAAAGGGAUCCACUGGACCGAUUUUUGAAGGCUGGGCACAUAAACAUUAAUGAGACCAUGAUUGACCGUUCGGGCAGCCCAGGAACAUGCUACGUUAGCCGUGCUGGAGGCGCCAGGUACUUCACGGCUCAUGGAAUGUAUUUCGUCAGUUGGCGCCAGGGAUAUUGUUUGAAGGAUGCUUGUUUCAAAACGUUUGUCCCUCCAUUACGUGAUUAGAGGUUAGACUUCUCUUUGCUUCUACUUUCAUACAGCAAUGAACACGCAAUGAACAGAGCUACUACUUUACUUAGAGUGUUUAUAAUGGUUUGGGUUAUUGGAAUGUUUUCCAUUUAUCGAAUAAUAGCGCCAUUAAAGGGCUAGA
Molecule: long non-coding RNA, 685 nt
Organism: Anopheles darlingi
Lineage: Eukaryota; Metazoa; Arthropoda; Insecta; Diptera; Culicidae
Exons: 3
Source: RefSeq, a predicted model, not a curated record